CUACGGAAGGCAGCAGUGGGGAAUAUUGCACAAUGGGCGCAAGCCUGAUGCAGCGACGCCGCGUGAGGGAUGACGGCCUUCGGGUUGUAAACCUCUUUCACCCAUGACGAAGCGCAAGUGACGGUAGUGGGAGAAGAAGCACCGGCCAACUACGUGCCAGCAGCCGCGGUAAUACGUAGGGUGCGAGCGUUGUCCGGAAUUACUGGGCGUAAAGAGCUCGUAGGCGGUUUGUCGCGUCGUCUGUGAAAUCCCGCAGCUCAACUGCGGGCUUGCAGGCGAUACGGGCAGACUCGAGUACUGCAGGGGAGACUGGAAUUCCUGGUGUAGCGGUGAAAUGCGCAGAUAUCAGGAGGAACACCGGUGGCGAAGGCGGGUCUCUGGGCAGUAACUGACGCUGAGGAGCGAAAGCGUGGGUAGCGAACAGGAUUAGAUACCCUGGUAGUCCACGCCGUAAACGGUGGGCGCUAGGUGUGGGUUUCCUUCCACGGGAUCCGUGCCGUAGCCAACGCAUUAAGCGCCCCGCCUGGGGAGUACGGCCGACAAGGCUAAAACUCAAGGAAUUGACGGGGCCCGCACAAGCGCGAGCAUGU
Molecule: ribosomal RNA, 590 nt
Filed under: Rhodococcus rhodochrous
Lineage: Bacteria; Bacillati; Actinomycetota; Actinomycetes; Mycobacteriales; Nocardiaceae
Description: bacterial SSU rRNA
Rfam family: Bacterial small subunit ribosomal RNA
Source: RNAcentral